GAUGAAGAACGCAGCGAAAUGCGAUAAGUAAUGUGAAUUGCAGAAUUCGGUGAAUCAUCGAAUCUUUGAACGCAUCUUGCGCUCCUUGGUAUUCUGAGGAGCAUGCCUGUUUGAGUGUCAUUAAAUUCUCAACCGCACUGACUUUGAAUUGGUGUGGCUUGGAUUUGGGGGGAAAAUUGUUGUGGGCUUUUUUGUAUAGUCUGCUCCCCUGAAAUUGAUUAGCGGUACCUUUGUGGAACUGUCUACAGGUGUGAUAAUUAUCUACAUCCUAGACAUCUGCUGGAAUGCUGCUUUCUAAACCUUACUUGUAUUGACAAUCUUGACCUCAAAUCAGGUAGGACUACCCGCUGAACUUAAGCAUAUCAAUAAGCGGAGGA
This 377-nucleotide unclassified non-coding RNA is filed under the name soil metagenome. RNAcentral describes it as "partial contains 5.8S ribosomal RNA, internal transcribed spacer 2, and large subunit ribosomal RNA". The stretch from base 1 to 120 matches the Rfam family "5.8S ribosomal RNA", at positions 35 to 154 of the family's 154-position model. The record is from RNAcentral.